UACAGAGGGUGCAAGCGUUAAUCGGAUUUACUGGGCGUAAAGCGUGCGUAGGCGGUUUGUUAAGUCGGUUGUGAAAGCCCUGGGCUUAACCUGGGAAUUGCAGUCGAUACUGGCAGGCUAGAGAACGGUAGAGGGAGGCGGAACUCCAGGUGUAGCAGUGAAAUGCGUAGAUAUCUGGAAGAACACCGAUGGCGAAGGCAACCUCCUGGGCCUGUUCUGACGCUGAGGCACGAAAGCGUGGGGAGCAAACAGG
Molecule: ribosomal RNA, 253 nt
Filed under: uncultured bacterium
Lineage: Bacteria
Description: partial 16S ribosomal RNA
Rfam family: Bacterial small subunit ribosomal RNA
Source: RNAcentral